RNAcentral lists this unclassified non-coding RNA (1169 nucleotides) under Hevea brasiliensis (rubber tree). The record is from RNAcentral. Lineage: Eukaryota; Viridiplantae; Streptophyta; Magnoliopsida; Malpighiales; Euphorbiaceae.
AUCCAGCGAACUAUCAAUUAGACUUAUUGCCCCGCGCGUCACAUUGUACUUGGACUCUUUAAACAGAAAUCCGCCCUGAAAUUCAAUUACAGAGAUCGAUAAUGGCUGAGCAACCCACGACGAUAGAGCACAAGGCAUACGCCCGUGUUGGUCUUUUGGGCAACCCAAGCGACGUUUAUUAUGGCCGUACCAUCUCUUUCAGCCUCGGCAACUUUUGUGCCAUCGUUCAAUUGCAGCCCUCCGAUGAUCUCGUCAUCAAGCCCCAUCCUAAACACGAUCUUGUCCAAUUCUCUUCCCUCGAUCACUUGGUGAAUCGGUUGCAAAGUGAAGGCUACUAUGGAGGAGUGCGAUUGCUGAUGGCGAUUUGUAGGGUUUUCUAUAAGCAUUGUAAAGAGAACCAGAUUGAUCUUCAUAGCGGGAAUUUCACUCUUUCUUAUGAUACUAACAUUCCUCGCCAGACAGGGCUUUCAGGUUCUAGUGCUAUUGUAACUGCGGCCUUGAACUGCCUUCUCGAUUUCUACAAAGUCCGGCAUUUGAUCAAAGUUGAAGUCAGACCUAAUCUUGUUCUCAAUGCUGAGAAAGAACUUGGAAUUGUUGCUGGCCUUCAAGAUAGAGUGGCACAGGUCUAUGGAGGCCUUGUUAAUAUGGAUUUUUCUAAGGAAAAUAUGGAUAAGUUGGGGCAUGGCAUCUACACACCCAUGGAUAUUAGUCUACUUCCACCUCUCCAUCUCAUCUAUGCUGAGAAUCCAAGUGAUUCUGGGAAGGUACAUAGUACAGUUCGGCAAAGGUGGCUAAAUGGUGACAAAUUUAUUAUAUCAUCCAUGGCAGAAGUUGCAGAUAUAGCGUUAGAAGGACGAACUGCAAUUCUUGACAAAGAUUAUGCCAAACUUGCAGGCCUGAUGAAUCGUAAUUUUGAUCUUCGAAGGAGCAUGUUUGGGGAUGAUGUUAUUGGUGCUUUAAACAUAGAAAUGGUAGAGGUGGCCCGAAGGGUAGGAGCUGCUUCAAAAUUUACAGGUAGUGGCGGGGCUGUUGUCGUGUACUGCCCUGAGGGGCCUUCUCAAGUAAAGCUUCUAGAGGACGCUUGUCAGAAAGCUGGUUUUGUCAUUCAAACUGUGCAAGUUAUUCCUCCACUUCUUAACGAAGAUGAUCUCAAGACCCUGUUAUAACGG